Diorhabda sublineata is the source of this 3318-nucleotide RNA transcript. It is a transcript of the gene named tyrosine-protein phosphatase non-receptor type 11, with no coding region annotated. Lineage: Eukaryota; Metazoa; Arthropoda; Insecta; Coleoptera; Chrysomelidae. The record is from RefSeq and is a predicted model, not a curated record. The transcript is spliced from 13 exons.
GAUGGCGUAUAACUUGAAAGUUCAAUUUCGAUGGUCAUUUAAAUUGUUUCUAUAAUUUUGUAUGUUACAAAAUGAGUUCUAGAAGAUGGUUUUGGCCGACAAUUAGUGGAAUUGACGCAGAAAAAUUGUUAAUGGAAAGAGGGUUGGACUGCAGUUUUUUAGCACGACCUAGUUCUUCGAAUCCCGGUGAUUUUACUUUAUCUGUCAGACGCAAUGGAGAAGUGACUCAUAUCAAGAUCCAGAACUCUGGAGAUUUUUAUGACUUAUACGGGGGUGAGAAAUUCGCUACUCUCUCUGAAUUAGUUCAGUAUUAUACAGAGAAACAGGGACAAUUGAAGGAAAAGAAUGGUGAAAUUAUAGAACUCAAGUACCCUCUUAAUUGCGCUGAUCCUACUACUGAACGGUGGUUUCAUGGACAUUUAUCUGGAAAAGAAGCAGAAAAACUCAUAUUAGACAGAGGAAAGAAUGGUAGUUUUUUAGUUAGGGAAAGUCAAUCUAAACCAGGAGACUUCGUAUUAUCGGUACGAACAGACGACAAAGUCACGCAUGUGAUGAUAAGGUGUACACCGGAUAACAGAUACGACGUUGGAGGCGGCGAACAAUUUAACAGUCUCGCUGAUUUGAUAGAACAUUACAAAAGAAAUCCGAUGGUGGAAACUUCCGGUACAGUUGUUCAUCUGAAACAACCUUUUAACGCCACAAGAAUAAAUGCAUCUGGAAUCCAUUCUAGAGUGAAACAAUUGCAAAGUGACAAUGGUCCUAAUAGUUUUGGGAAAGCUGGAUUUUGGGAGGAAUUCGAGUCACUACAGCAACAGGAAUCGAAACAUUUAUAUCAUAGAAAGGAAGGUGUCAAACCGGAAAAUCGAAACAAAAACAGAUACAAAAACAUACUACCAUUUGAUAACACUCGGGUGAAACUUAAAGACGUAGAUCCGACUGUACCCGGAAGUGAUUAUAUCAACGCCAAUUACAUAAGAUGGAGAGUAGACGAAUCUAUCGGUUCCGAAUUGGGUGGUGAUCCAAGUGGUAAAGUCUACAUCGCCACCCAGGGUUGUCUACCUACUACUAUCGCUGAUUUUUGGCAGAUGGUAUGGCAAGAAAAUUGUCAAGUAAUCGUCAUGACCACCAAAGAGACGGAAAGAGGGAAAAACAAAUGUGCCAGAUAUUGGCCCGAUGUAAAUUGUACAAAAGAAUAUGAAAAAAUUAAAGUUAGGAAUUUGUUGGAGUCUCAUACAUUGCAUUAUACUUUGAGAGAAUUUUUAGUUAGUAUCGAAGGAUCAAAUUGUGAAAGGAAGGUGUUCCAUUAUCAUUUUCAGGCGUGGCCCGACCAUGGUGUACCUUCUGACCCAGGCUGUGUUUUAAAUUUUCUACACGAAGUGAAUAAACGUCAGGAAUCGUUACAAAUAGAAUCCCCGUUACAGCCCCCGGGGGCUAUUCUAGUGCAUUGUUCCGCUGGUAUCGGUCGCACGGGCACAUUUAUAGUAAUUGACAUGAUUUUGGACCAGUUGAAAAAAUAUGGUCUUGAUUGUGAAAUCGACAUCCAACGUACAAUUCAAAUGGUGAGAUCUCAACGUUCCGGAAUGGUACAGACUGAAGCACAAUAUAAAUUUGUUUACUUAGCAGUACAACAUCAUAUAGAAACUACUACAGAAAGAAUGAAGGCUGAACAAAAAUCCAUGCAACUCGGAAGAGAAUACACAAACAUAAGGUACAGUAAUGAUAUAGGAAAUAGUUGUAUGUCUCCAACAACACCCGGCGGUUUCGGAAGUAUUUCAUCACCAAAUAAUCAUCGUUGUAGUACAACCAGUAUCACAUGUCCCAGUGUUAAUUCGGUUACUUUGAGACAAGAUAUUAAGAAACCGCAGAGAGCUUUGUCCGAAAUAUCGUUGCCAAGGGUUGAAUUAGAAGUAGAAUGUUUCGUAUAGAUGCUCAUAUUAUCUACGUGGUCCUUAACAAAACUGACGAAAAUGCUGGCAAACUAUCUCAGAGAAUAUCAUAAAAUAUAUAUCACCCCCGGAUGAUUUAGUGAAACCUUCUCUAUACGAAAACAUUCCCGGUAAUCCUGCAGGAUCAAUAAUUUGUCCUGCGCCGCCCCCUCCGCCUAGAAAAGCCACGUGACCUAAGAAAAAAUUAACAUUAUAUUCCAGUUAUAUUUAUACCUUCCCGAUAUGUAAAGAAUGUAACUAGUAGUUGUUUAAAACUGUUUAUAAGUAUCCUUGAAUAAAUUAUUUUAUUUAUAUUGAGGUAAUUUUAAAAAGUGAAACUUGGAUUUUAUUAUUAUAAAAGGUGUCCCAAAAUUUACGCAAAAUUUGAAUUAAAUAGCUGGAUGUCCAUGAGGAUAUGAAUUUGUUAGCACAAGAAAUCCAAUUUAUUGAACAUCUGAAAUGACGGAGUACAUAGCUUUGAAAUUUCUGUAGCAAUAAUUGCAAUGUUUCAGAAUAAAGUUUUUCCAAUAAUACCAUCCAAACUAGGAAAAAAUAUUCAGUACUAAAAAUAUUCGUUUUUUAAACAACUUGUUUAUUGAAAUGUUUACUCUCAAUGACAGUUGGCUUCAAACGACAUUUAGUAUUUAUCAAGGAUGAACUUUUCAUCCCGGCGAGUGAAAAAAUACUAUACACACGACGAGAAAAAAGUACAAGAAAAUUCAAACAUUUUGUAGGUAGUUUCAACAUUUCAGUAAGGCCACAAUAUUGCGUGACGUCAUAGGUAUAAAAUAAACACUGAACAUAUGAUAUAAAAUAAAACGAUUCCCCCGGUUUUCUAAAAUAAGCGUUACUAUUAAACUUUAAUUAAUCUGAAAAAUGGUAUAUAAAUCGUGUUUUGUGCCAGGAUGUGAAAAUACCACGACUAAAACACCUGAUGAUGAUUUUUUUAUGAUUCCUAGAAAUUCGAAUAUACUACAAAAAUGGUUUGAAAGUGUUGGUAGUUUUGACGAUUAUUUUAAUGUAAGUAAGUUUGAAAUUCAACUUAUUUUUAUAUCUUAUAGUAAUUAAGUUUACUACGCUUUUAAUUUUCAACGAGAUUAUGUAAUAAUGCAAGAACUUAACCUAUAAAAGGUUUAUUCACUUAUACAUAGAAAAAUAUAUUAUUUAUACAUGACUAAUAAAUGAAAACUUUCUUGUAACAGCACACGCUAUGUUGACGGUAAUGAUAACCUCGUUAUCAUCAAUCUGACAACUGCUCAAUGUUUUUAUUAAACCUCUGACGUUACAAUUGAAAAGCAAUGAGAAUCGUUUUCUUAUGUAGUUGAAAAUUUGAAAUUUUUGCGAUUAUCAAUUAAAUAUCAAGUACUUAUAAAAUAAACAAAAAAAAAAUAAA